Molecule: ribosomal RNA, 253 nt
Filed under: uncultured bacterium
Lineage: Bacteria
Description: partial 16S ribosomal RNA
Rfam family: Bacterial small subunit ribosomal RNA
Source: RNAcentral
UACGAAGGGGGCUAGCGUUGCUCGGAAUUACUGGGCGUAAAGGGAGCGUAGGCGGACAUUUAAGUCAGGGGUGAAAUCCCGAGGCUCAACCUCGGAACUGCCUUUGAUACUGGAUGUCUUGAGUGUGAGAGAGGUGAGUGGAACUCCGAGUGUAGAGGUGAAAUUCGUAGAUAUUCGGAAGAACACCAGUGGCGAAGGCGACUCACUGGCUCAUUACUGACGCUGAGGCUCGAAAGCGUGGGGAGGAAACAGG